Molecule: ribosomal RNA, 425 nt
Filed under: uncultured bacterium
Lineage: Bacteria
Description: partial 16S ribosomal RNA
Rfam family: Bacterial small subunit ribosomal RNA
Source: RNAcentral
GUGGGGAAUAUUGGACAAUGGGCGAAAGCCUGAUCCAGCCAUGCCGCGUGAGUGAUGAAGGCCUUAGGGUUGUAAAGCUCUUUCAGUAGGGAAGAUAAUGACGGUACCUACAGAAGAAGCCCCGGCUAACUUCGUGCCAGCAGCCGCGGUAAUACGAAGGGGGCUAGCGUUGUUCGGAUUUACUGGGCGUAAAGCGCACGUAGGCGGAUUGGUCAGUUAGAGGUGAAAUCCUGGAGCUCAACUCCAGAACUGCCUUUAAUACUGCCAGUAUAGAGUCCAGAAGAGGUGAGUGGAACUCCUAGUGUAGAGGUGGAAUUCGUAGAUAUUAGGAAGAACACCAGUGGCGAAGGCGGCUCACUGGUCUGGUACUGACGCUGAGGUGCGAAAGCGUGGGGAGCAAACAGGAUUAGAUACCCGGGUAGUCC